AGCUGGCGGCGUACUUAACACAUGCAAGUCGAACGGGGAUCAUCGUGUGAGCAAUCAUAUGGUGGUCCUAGUGGCGCACGGGUGAGUAACACGUGGGUAACCUACCCUCGAGACCGGGAUACCCCUUCGAAAGGGGGGCUAAUACCGGAUACGUUCCCUGGGUCGAGAGAUUUGGGGAGGAAAGGUGGCGCAAGCUACCGCUCUUGGAGGGGCUCGCGGCCUAUCAGCUAGUUGGCGGGGUAACGGCCCACCAAGGCGAUGACGGGUAGCUGGUCUGAGAGGACGACCAGCCACACGGGGACUGAGACACGGCCCCGACUCCUACGGGAGGCAGCAGUGGGGAAUUUUCCGCAAUGGGCGAAAGCCUGACGGAGUGACGCCGCGUGUGGGAUGAAGGCCUUCGGGUCGUAAACCACUGUCAGUGGGAAAGAAGGGUG
This 437-nucleotide ribosomal RNA is filed under the name uncultured soil bacterium. Its description in RNAcentral is "bacterial SSU rRNA". It matches the Rfam family "Bacterial small subunit ribosomal RNA", at positions 35 to 454 of the family's 1533-position model. The record is from RNAcentral.